CUAGCUCAGUUUGUUUCUCGCAACAGCUUCUGGGUGCUCCCUUUUCCUUCCACUCUGACCAAUAAACUACUGUGGCAAGACUUCCAGCAGUUUCCUUCCAGUGAUAUGACCUUCUGGAGUUUCUGUAAUAUUCCAUAGGCCUGGGAAAAAGUCACAAAGGUUUUACAACUCAUCACUGGAGGGUAUGAAAACAAUUUACAGAACCCAAGUAAGGUGCUUUAUCACUAUUGUGAGAGGACAAUUCCUUUCUUUCUUCACAUGAUUAGGAUAAGAGUGAACUACUGAAUCUCACUGGACUCUCAUCAAGGGACAAUCUACAAAUAUGUUGGGUACAGAGGCAUACCCAUGAAGAAUUGGGCUAUAACAAAAAAUACAGGCACAUAAAUAAAUA
This is a long non-coding RNA of Anolis carolinensis (green anole), 391 nucleotides long. RefSeq lists it as uncharacterized. The record is from RefSeq and is a predicted model, not a curated record. NCBI's taxonomy places the organism in Eukaryota, Metazoa, Chordata, Lepidosauria, Squamata, Anolidae. The transcript has 3 exons.